Molecule: long non-coding RNA, 509 nt
Organism: Oreochromis niloticus (Nile tilapia)
Lineage: Eukaryota; Metazoa; Chordata; Actinopteri; Cichliformes; Cichlidae
Exons: 3
Source: RefSeq, a predicted model, not a curated record
UGUUCUUUGUCUGUUGUUACACAGAUUGAAACAGAUCUUUGGUCUUGCCUUUGCUGACUGCUGAUCUGAUCGUCUCAAGUCUGGUGACCUGCUGCAGAAGCUCUCUCCCUCUAUCAUUAACAAGCCAUUCAGUCUGUCCUAUCACUCUCCCCACUCUAUCUAUUUUGACAAGCCGUUCUAUCUUGCUUCACUCUAUCCCACAAGCUCUAAGUUAUCAAAAAUCAUGUUUUUAACUGGCAUCAAAUUUUGAAUGGAAUCAAGUUUUGUCUGGCGAAAUCAAGUUUUGACAUGGCCCCAAUUUUUGGGAAAUUGAAGUUACCAGUACUUCAUCGAUCUGUUACAGAAUUCUGAGAGGUCUCUGCUCUCACUGCUCCUUCUUUCCUAUCGUUAAACUCUCUCACAUCCAGUCUUUUUGCUGGAAAUUACAAGUAGAAAGUUGAAAUUACAAUAAUAGAAUUACAGUACAGUAGAAACUACUUACACAGCCCUACAUUUGUAAUUUAAAUUUU